Molecule: ribosomal RNA, 764 nt
Filed under: uncultured bacterium
Lineage: Bacteria
Description: bacterial SSU rRNA
Rfam family: Bacterial small subunit ribosomal RNA
Source: RNAcentral
CAGGCGCGUGCUAUAAUGCAAGUCGAACGGACGACUUCGGUCGUUAGUGGCGAACGGGUGAGUAACGCGUUGGUGACCUGCCCCGGAGUGUGGGAUAACAGACCGAAAGGUUUGCUAACACCGCAUGAUGUCACGGAGUUUAGAAGUCCGUGAAGAAAGAAGAAAUUCGCUCUGGGAGGGGCCUGCGACCCAUCAGCUAGUUGGUAAGGUAACGGCCUACCAAGGCGAUGACGGGUAGGGGACCUGAGAGGGUGGCCCCCCACAAUGGAACUGAAACACGGUCCAUACACCUACGGGUGGCAGCAGUAGGGGAUAUUGCUUAAUGGGCGCAAGCCUGAAGCAGCAACGCCGCGUGUGCGAUGAAGGCCUUCGGGUUGUAAAGCACUUUUAGCAGGGAAGAGGAAGGACGGUACCUGCUGAAUAAGCCUCGGCUAACUACGUGCCAGCAGCCGCGGUAAAACGUAGGAGGCGAGCGUUAUCCGGAUUUACUGGGUGUAAAGCGCGUGCAGGCGGUUUGUUAAGUUGGAUGUGAAAGCUCCCGGCUCAACUGGGAGAGGUCGUUCAAGACUGGCAAACUGGAGAGCAGUAGGGGAAGGUGGAAUUCCGGGUGUAGUGGUGAAAUGCGUAGAUAUCCGGAGGAACACCAGUGGCGAAGGCGGCCUUCUGGACUGCAUCUGACGCUCAGACGCGAAAGCUAGGGGAGCAAACGGGAUUAGAGACCCCGGUAGUCCUAGCCGUAAACGAUGUGAACUUGGCGCCGGUUG